RNAcentral lists this ribosomal RNA (507 nucleotides) under Sigambra magnuncus. Its description in RNAcentral is "partial 16S ribosomal RNA". It matches the Rfam family "Bacterial large subunit ribosomal RNA", at positions 1816 to 2597 of the family's 2925-position model. The record is from RNAcentral. Lineage: Eukaryota; Metazoa; Annelida; Polychaeta; Phyllodocida; Pilargidae.
UGCCUCUCGCCCAACCCAUAAGAGGUAUGUCCUGCCCAGUGAAAAUUUUCAACGGCCGCGGUAUCCUGACCGUGCAAAGGUAGCAUAAUCAUUUGCCUCCUAAUUAGAGGCUAGUAUGAAUGGAUUAACGAAAAUUUUUCUGUCUCCACUAUAUUAAUAUAAAUUAGCCUUUAGGCGAAAAGACCUAAAUUUCGGUAAAAGACAAGAAGACCCUAUCGAGCUUAAUUAAAACCAGGUUAGACACGAUAAUAAAGCUUAACCUCUCUCUUGGCUAUAAUUUAGUUGGGGCAACUAAGGAUAAAACCCAUCAUCCUAAAAAUCCACGAUAAACAAAUCAUCCCAUAGAUCCACAAAGUGAUCAAAGAACAAAGCUACCGUAGGGAUAACAGGCUAAAUUUUCCCAAAGAGCCCAAAUUAAUGGGAAAAAUUGGCACCUCGAUGUUGGCUUAAAGUUUCCCUCAGGAGCAAACACUUGAAAAGGUUGGUUUGUUCAACCAUUAAAACUUU